This 205-nucleotide ribosomal RNA is filed under the name uncultured bacterium. Its description in RNAcentral is "partial 16S ribosomal RNA". It matches the Rfam family "Bacterial small subunit ribosomal RNA", at positions 568 to 774 of the family's 1533-position model. The record is from RNAcentral.
AGCGCAGGCGGUUUGAUAAGUCUGAAGUAAAAGGCUGUGGCUUAACCAUAGUAUGCUUUGGAAACUGUCAAACUUGAGUGCAGAAGGGGAGAGUGGAGUUCCAUGUGUAGCGGUGAAAUGCGUAGAUAUAUGGAGGAACACCGGUGGCGAAAGCGGCUCUCUGGUCUGUAACUGACGCUGGGGCUCGAAAGCGUGGGAGCAAACA